AAGUACCCAGAGGAAAAUAAAGAAACCUCGAUUCCGUAAGUAGCGGCGAGCGAAAGCGGAUCAGCCCAAACCGUCUCGACAGAGA
Molecule: ribosomal RNA, 85 nt
Filed under: Candidatus Latescibacterota bacterium
Lineage: Bacteria; Pseudomonadati; Candidatus Latescibacterota
Description: partial 23S ribosomal RNA
Rfam family: Bacterial large subunit ribosomal RNA
Source: RNAcentral